Molecule: unclassified non-coding RNA, 152 nt
Filed under: uncultured fungus
Lineage: Eukaryota; Fungi
Description: sequence contains ITS2
Source: RNAcentral
UCAAUCAUCAAGCCUGGCUUGUCGUUGGACUCGUGGUCGUCAUGACCGGUCCGAAAGAUAAUGGACGGCGGUGAUUAGCCCCUGAUGCAACGAGCUUUUGACAGCACGCAUUGAAGGGUUGGUCACCCCCGGCCUCACACUCCAUUUUCUCA